GUUAGUGGUUUUCUUUUUUCGCCUCUUCCACUUCGACGACUCCGCUGAUCUUUCAGUCCAGAGACAAUGAAGUCUUCUCUCACCUCUUUGGCUCCCCUAUCAUGUUCAACGUAUUCCUCUUAAUUUCGCCAAUAAACGUGAUUGCCAUUUAACCUAAAAACGUUGUGUAUCUCUCCGUUUCCUCCACCUCAAAUCUAAAAAUUGGAGAAGGUUGAGAAUUGGAUGAACCUUCACAAAAACUCCCAGUUAAUCUCCUUUAUCAACCGUAGAAAUAAUAAUCCUUAUGUUGUCAAGAGGCAGAUGACUAAUAUAUGCUUCAGUACGAUGAAAAGCAUCAGAAGCCUUCCUGUCGGCCCUUCUUCCCGAGAACCAUCACCGCCGCGGUGGAGACAAAACCUGUUUCAGCAGAUCUGAAAAGAGAAAGACAAGCAGCAAGACACAAAGCAAGGAUCUACCACAACCAACAGAGACCAAAGUCCGCCGUGAAGGUGGUGUGGGUCGGGUGGAACUGGAGUGUUCUUUCCAGGCAGUCAUGGUACUGCUGUGAGUCAAGCAAGAAAUCAGAUGUGGUUUAAAAGAAGGUUACAGAUGUGGUCAUUGAAGCCAUGAACGGACUUCCAACGUUCGCCACGAGUCAAGGUGGACCGGCUGAGAUAAUCACUGAUGAUGUCUCUGGUUUCCACAUUUAUCCCAACAAUGGUGAUGAAUAUGUUUCCAGGAUUGGAGAUAUCUUCAGCAAGUGUAGUACAGAUGGUUUGUAUUGGGAUACUAUCUCUAAGGCUGGUCCAAACGUAUCUAUGAGUGCUACACAUGGAAGAUCUAUGCAGAGAAGUUACUGAAAAUGGGAAGCAUAUAUGGAUUUUGGAGACAAGCGAAUGAAUUCAGAAGAAAACUAAGCAGUACAUUGACAUGCUUUACAAUCUCGAGUUCAAACAUUGACCAAGAAAGUGACUAUCCCGGAAGAUAAAGCUCUACCACUAAGAUUGGCUUAACUAUGUAGCCUUCUUCC
This is a long non-coding RNA of Raphanus sativus (radish), 1009 nucleotides long. RefSeq lists it as uncharacterized. NCBI's taxonomy places the organism in Eukaryota, Viridiplantae, Streptophyta, Magnoliopsida, Brassicales, Brassicaceae. The record is from RefSeq and is a predicted model, not a curated record. The transcript is spliced from 6 exons.